Molecule: ribosomal RNA, 253 nt
Filed under: uncultured bacterium
Lineage: Bacteria
Description: partial 16S ribosomal RNA
Rfam family: Bacterial small subunit ribosomal RNA
Source: RNAcentral
UACGUAGGGUGCGAGCGUUAAUCGGAAUUACUGGGCGUAAAGCGUGCGCAGGCGGUUCGUUGUGUCUGCUGUGAAAUCCCCGGGCUCAACCUGGGAAUGGCAGUGGAAACUGGCGAGCUUGAGUGUGGCAGAGGGGGGUGGAAUUCCGCGUGUAGCAGUGAAAUGCGUAGAGAUGCGGAGGAACACCGAUGGCGAAGGCAGCCUCCUGGGCCAAUACUGACGCUCAUGCACGAAAGCGUGGGGAGCAAACAGG